Helianthus annuus (common sunflower) is the source of this 750-nucleotide long non-coding RNA. RefSeq lists it as uncharacterized. The record is from RefSeq and is a predicted model, not a curated record. NCBI's taxonomy places the organism in Eukaryota, Viridiplantae, Streptophyta, Magnoliopsida, Asterales, Asteraceae. The transcript is spliced from 4 exons.
CCUGUUUGGUAAUCUAUCACUGAAGAACGAAUUCUUUGUCAAUCGCUUGAUUCGUCCUAUUACAGAGGUACAAAGAAGUUGGACUCGACACCAGCGUUUUGACUAGAGUUGAAUAUGGGAGUAGAAGUUCACGAGCUGGCGGCUAAAGGUCCAAUGCUACAGCCUACAGUUGUUACUAGGUACUAUCUUUUUGAAAAUUUGAAUAGAGUUUGAACCUUUGUGGACGCAAAAAAGAUAUGAAAAAGGAAGUUCCUGUGUUGAUCGAUAAGUUUCCAGAAUGUGGGUUGCGUUCUUUGGCUAUUGCAAAACAGGUGUUCAACUUGAUAUUGCUAAGAAGACUGGUAGACGACUUGGUAUGAGACAAACAUGUACCCUUCUUCUUUACUUGGUGGCCACAAGGAUUUAUCUAUAGCAACUUUUUGUAUUCAAGAGUUCAUUGAGAAAGCUCAUGGAUUUUGAUGAAAGCCAAAAGCUCACAUUGAUAUUGAUAUUGCUCAUGCUAUAUAUGAUGCUAUCAUGGUGCAGACAAUAUUUGGUGACAAUGGCGAAUCUCCUAUAUUUGUUGUAAAGUGGUGGAUCUGUUUGAGAGAGGCCACGUAUAUAUAUAUUUUUUAGUUUUUGAAUAUUUGCUCUGCAAUUAAAUAGUCAAUAUUACUAUUUUUAUACUAUUUUGGUAUUCACGCUCGGUUGGGAAAACAUAUGUAUUGUUAUUAGAUUGAGAAUCGUUUAUAUUGAAGCCCACACACACUA